Molecule: ribosomal RNA, 453 nt
Filed under: uncultured bacterium
Lineage: Bacteria
Description: bacterial SSU rRNA
Rfam family: Bacterial small subunit ribosomal RNA
Source: RNAcentral
AAUCAACGCUGGCGGCGUGCCUAACACAUGCAAGUCGAACGGAGAAAGGGGACUUCGGUCCCUGAGUACAGUGGCGCACGGGUGAGUAACACGUGACUUAUCUACCCUUGAGUGGGGAAUAACUUCGGGAAACCGAGGCUAAUACCGCAUAAUACCCACGGGUCAAAGGAGCAAUUCGCUUGAGGAGGAGGUCGCGGCCCGAUUAGUUAGUUGGCGGGGUAAUGGCCCCCACCAAGACGGUGAUCGGUAUCCGGCCUGAGAGGGCGCACGGACACACUGGAACUGAAACACGGUCCAGACUCCUACGGGAGGCAGCAGUGGGGAAUUUUGCGCAAUGGGGGAAACCCUGACGCAGCAACGCCGCGUGGAGGAUGAAGUCUCUUGGGACGUAAACUCCUUUCGAUCGGGACGAUUAUGACGGUACCGGAAGAAGAAGCCCCGGCUAACUUCGUG